This 464-nucleotide ribosomal RNA is filed under the name uncultured bacterium. Its description in RNAcentral is "SSU rRNA". It matches the Rfam family "Bacterial small subunit ribosomal RNA", at positions 26 to 518 of the family's 1533-position model. The record is from RNAcentral.
AGGAUUAACGCUGGCGGCGUGCCUAACACAUGCAAGUCGAACGAGGUAGCAAUACCUAGUGGCAGACGGGUGAGUAACGCGUGGUCAACCUACCGUUGAGUGGGGGAUAACUAACCGAAAGGUUAGCUAAUACCGCAUACGUCUCCGAGGGGCAUCCCUUGGCGAUAAAAGGAGCAAUCCGCUCGAUGACGGGACCGCGUCCCAUUAGCUAGAUGGUGGGGUAACGGCCUACCAUGGCACCGAUGGGUAGCUGGUUUGAGAGAGCGACCAGCCACACUGGGACUGAGAAACGGCCCAGACUCCUACGGGAGGCAGCAGUGAGGAAUUUUCCGCAAUGGGCGCAAGCCUGACGGAGCGACGCCGCGUGUGGGAAGAAGGCCUUCGGGUCGUAAACCACUGUCGAAGGGGACGAUAAUGACGGUACCCUUGGAGGAAGCCCCGGCUAACUACGCGCCAGCAGCCGC